This is a non-coding RNA of Ustilago trichophora, 93 nucleotides long. NCBI's taxonomy places the organism in Eukaryota, Fungi, Basidiomycota, Ustilaginomycetes, Ustilaginales, Ustilaginaceae. The record is from the annotation of a GenBank genome assembly.
GCACCGAUAGUUUAAGGGUAGAAUGCUUGCCUUCCAUCUGAUUUGAACUUCGACGGACAGCAAGCGACAGGGGUUCGAGUCCCCUUCGGCGCA